ACUCCUACGGGAGGCAGCAGUGGGGAAUUUUGGACAAUGGGCGAAAGCCUGAUCCAGCAAUGCCGCGUGAGUGAAGAAGGCCUCGGUUGUAAGACUCUUUUGUUCAGGGAAGAAACGGUAGAGAGCUAAUAUCUCUUGCUAAUGACGGUACCUGAAGAAUAAGCACCGGCUAACUACGUGCCAGCAGCCGCGGUAAUACGUAGGUGCAAGCGUUAAUCGGAAUUACUGGGCGUAAAGCGUGCGCAGGCGGUUUUGUAAGUCUGAUGUGAAAUCCCCGGGGCUCAACCUGGGAAUUGCAUUGGAGACUGCAAGGCUAGAAUCUGGCAGAGGGGGUAGAAUUCCACGUGUAGCAGUGAAAUGCGUAGAUAUGUGGAGGAACACCGAUGGCGAAGGCAGCCCCCUGGGUCAAGAUUGACGCUCAUGCACGAAAGCGUGGGGAGCAAACAGGAUUAGAUACCCUGGUAGCGACUGA
RNAcentral lists this ribosomal RNA (472 nucleotides) under uncultured bacterium. Its description in RNAcentral is "bacterial SSU rRNA". It matches the Rfam family "Bacterial small subunit ribosomal RNA", at positions 335 to 798 of the family's 1533-position model. The record is from RNAcentral.